This 306-nucleotide small RNA is filed under the name Vigna angularis var. angularis. Its description in RNAcentral is "Non-protein coding transcript". The record is from RNAcentral. Lineage: Eukaryota; Viridiplantae; Streptophyta; Magnoliopsida; Fabales; Fabaceae.
GUUUUGAAGCUUUCUGUCGUUCGUUUCUCUGUAACUGCCGUUUGGAAGCACUGUUGUAGGCGAAAACUACCAUUGAAGACGAAAAAGCACUUUCAUGAGCACUAGAUGUGUGAAGGAUUUCGAUUCAAGAGUUUUAUUGGGAGAAGUUUCGAACCAGGUAUGGGGAUCUACGGACUUUAAUUGUUUGCUUGUAUAUGAUUCAUUUAUAUGUUUAGGGAAGAAGAAAUUAGCGGUUGAUGUUUUGAUUUUAUUAAGUGUAUUAAUUUGUAUGGGUAGUUAAUCCUAUGUAUAUGAUAAAUCACUUAC